AACCUCCAGGCCCCUUGGCCACUUCCUCCCUCCUGCGAAGACAGCUGGCAACUGGGAUGCAGUACCCUCCCUGCCCCCGCCCCCUUCUGUGGGCCACACGCUGUGAGAAGGGGUCUAGAUCCUCCAGGGGGGGAUGGCUGCCCUGUGGUGGCUCUGCAGGCACAUGAUAGCCGACUGCCACUGCUGGGGCGAGGAGGGAGGGCCUCUUUCCACCCGACAGAUACCGACACCCAAUAUAGAAACCGAGAAGAGCCAAGCAGGAAAACACAAGCUCUCACCCGUCUGGAGGCUCCGGGGUUUGGCGCCCAGAUAUGCCAGGUUCACGUUGGCCUUGCGGCCGUCGAUGAUGGGGUUCGGGUCUUUGCAAGCCCUCUCAGCUGCCGCCCGGUCGGCCAUGGUCACCUGGAGGAGCCACAGACACAUCAGGGGCUGCCGUGAGGGAAACCAGGGGCGAAAGGGCAGAGGGCUCCGCCCUGGCACCGGAUGCUGCCACCCCUCUCUUCCCUUCCUCUGAGGGUGCCUGUAACCCAGGGUCCUUGAGCCAAAGCUCCUCUGACCCCUACGUGGGGCCCUCCCACAAAGAUGCCUCCUGGAUUCCAGCUCCUCUCCUCAAAGUUCAAGGCCUGGGAAAUGUGGCCUUCAAGGACAAAAAUAAUCCUCUGCGGGGACAGGGCAAAGACGAACCCCGAAGGGAGGUGGGGGUGCUGCCUGGACUGCCCACCGGUGAGGGCCGAGACUUCCCUCUGGGAAGGAGUUUGCGACGUUGCACUUGGAAGGGAACCGUCAGGUGCUAAGCAGAACUGUGCUUGGACUUCCACACCAGUCAAAAUGCCCUCGCAGCAAAGCCCCACCGAAGGGGCCCACAGGGUGGACUCGAGGUUCAUGAAGUCCCAAGAGAUGACUGGAAGCCCCAAAUGGAUGCCCUGGGCUCCCCAGCACCAGAGGGAAACACCCCCUCGCCGAAGACAGUGGUGAGUGCCAUGCUUCAAGUAACGCAAGGAGCAGCCUCCAGUGCACCUGUUUUAGAGGCCAGCCCUGGAGGCAGAAAGAUUUACAAGGGAGUGGAAAGCUGGCAAACACAGGACACAAGGAGAUGCCCAAAGUCAGUGGGGGUCAGGGUUCAACCUGGAAAUGCAGUCUCUUCAGCUGAGGAAGGCAGCGAGUCCUGGCCAGGAAGCUGGUCCAAGCCCCUGCCUCGUCCCCAGUUCACCUCGUGAAAGCUGAUGAAUGACCAAUGCUUAUACAUGGGUCUGCAGUAACGGUGGCACCGUAUUAAGGGGCGAUCAGGCUGUAUCUUGAUACUGGGAAUCACAGAGGUGGAAGAAACCCAUCAUGCUGACGGGUAGUGAAGAAGAGAAAUGAAAGACACAAGAGAAGGCCAGGUGCAGUGGCUCACUCCUGGAGUCCCAGCUACCCGGGAGGUUGAGACAGGAGAAUCGCUUGAACCCGGGAGGCAGAGGGCACAGUGAACUGAGAUCACGCCACUGCACUGCAGCCUGGGCAACAGAGCGAGACUCGGUCUC
Molecule: long non-coding RNA, 1523 nt
Organism: Piliocolobus tephrosceles (Ugandan red Colobus)
Lineage: Eukaryota; Metazoa; Chordata; Mammalia; Primates; Cercopithecidae
Exons: 4
Source: RefSeq, a predicted model, not a curated record